RNAcentral lists this ribosomal RNA (334 nucleotides) under uncultured soil bacterium. RNAcentral's name for it is "bacterial SSU rRNA". It matches the Rfam family "Bacterial small subunit ribosomal RNA", at positions 26 to 362 of the family's 1533-position model. The record is from RNAcentral.
AGAUUGAACGCUGGCGGCAGGCCUAACACAUGCAAGUCGAGCGGUAGAGAGGUGCUUGCAUCUCUUGAGAGCGGCGGACGGGUGAGUAAUGCCUAGGAAUCUGCCUAGUGGUGGGGGAUAACGUUCGGAAACGGACGCUAAUACCGCAUACGUCCUACGGGAGAAAGCGGGGGACCUUCGGGCCUCGCGCCAUUAGAUGAGCCUAGGUCGGAUUAGCUAGUUGGUGAGGUAAUGGCUCACCAAGGCGACGAUCCGUAACUGGUCUGAGAGGAUGAUCAGUCACACUGGAACUGAGACGCGGUCCAGACUCCUACGGGAGGCAGCAGUAGGGAUA